UACGGAGGAUCCGAGCGUUAUCCGGAAUUAUUGGGUUUAAAGGGUGCGUAGGCGGCCAUUUAAGUCAGCGGUGAAAUUUUGCAGCUUAACUGUAACAGUGCCGUUGAUACUGUUAGGCUAGGAUUUGGUUGCUGUGGGUGGAAUGUGUGGUGUAGUGGUGAAAUGCUUAGAGAUCACACAGAAUAUCGAUUGCGAAGGCAGCUCACAAAGCCAAGAUUGACGCUGAGGCACGAAAGUGUGGGGAUCAAACAGGAUUA
This 257-nucleotide ribosomal RNA is filed under the name uncultured prokaryote. RNAcentral's name for it is "partial 16S ribosomal RNA". It matches the Rfam family "Bacterial small subunit ribosomal RNA", at positions 524 to 780 of the family's 1533-position model. The record is from RNAcentral.